Molecule: small nuclear RNA, 106 nt
Organism: Manis pentadactyla (Chinese pangolin)
Lineage: Eukaryota; Metazoa; Chordata; Mammalia; Pholidota; Manidae
Source: RefSeq, a predicted model, not a curated record
GUACUCCCUUCAUGGGCACAUAUACUAAAACUGGAAUGAUACAGAGAAGAUUAGCAUGUCACCUGCUCAAGGAUGACAUCAAAUUCUUGAAGUGUUACACACACAC